This is a non-coding RNA of Macaca mulatta (Rhesus monkey), 1254 nucleotides long. The record is from RefSeq and is a predicted model, not a curated record. Lineage: Eukaryota; Metazoa; Chordata; Mammalia; Primates; Cercopithecidae.
AACCCGCUCCCGGCGCACCUGCACUGCCCCGCCCCCCGAGACGCUGCCCACCUGUCCUUUGUGCAGGGCGGUACCAUUAGAUCUUGCCAGCUCUCCUUCAGGGAGCGCCCGCUAUGUGCCAGGCGCCGUGCCAAGCCUGAUCUCCCGUAAUCCUCACAGACCCUCCGCGGUCAGCGCUUCUGCUGCUCCCCGCCCAGGGCGCAGCGGGGUGUGGCCGUUUGCCCAGGGUCACGCAGACUUGAACCCCCCAUCCCUGUGCCCAUUUAACAACCAAGAUACAGCGCCUCCCACCGCGUCCACAUCCACAUCUGCUGUGACUCCGGGGCCUCCUAACCGUCCUGGGAGGCAAAACAGUCACACUGGUGGCUGGCGUCGCGGUGCACCUACUGUGUGCCAAGCACUCAUGGCCUCAGUUCACUUUCGCAACAGCAACGAGAGAUCUGUUGCCCCAGGGUGAGGAAGCGAAGGCACAGAAGAGCUGAAGCAAUUUGCCCACAGUCACAAGUAGGUGCUCGACAACUAUUUCAAAACUAAAGGACUAAGCAAGUGGCCUCACAGCUACUGAGGACGGAGUCUGGAACCGAACGCAGGGCACUCUGAAGCUGGAGCUCACUUCUAUGCUACUGCCUUUCUCAUGCUACUAGCAGGCACUGAAUGUGUCAGUGAGUGAAUGAAUGAAUGAAACCAAGAUCUCAGGAUCCCAGUCAAGUGCUCCCUGAGCUUCAUUUCCUGGUAGCGUGGACAUGAGCCAAGCUCCAGCCACCUUGGAUGGUGACGGGGCUGAUGGGCCGCCUGAAGCCGGCUGUCAGGAGCUCGUCUGGCCACAGCCGCCAGCAGGGGAGACCAGCUGGCGAUGCAGGGUCCAUCGGCCCAGGCCUGGAAUCUGAGCUGCCCUCAGAGGCCCAGCUUCUCUUUGGGCCCCCACAAACUGGCCUUUGUUCCCGGGCCGGCCAAGACCCAGCAGCUUGGGCUUUCUGUCUGCCCGCGGCACCCGCGCUGAGCUGGCGGGGGUAAAUGGGCCAGCCUCUGCUCUGUCCAUGCCCAGGACGUCGCUUUAGGACUAAAUGGAGAUGUAAUUUUCUAUACAAAUCCAUGACAAUUUAGAUGGAGUGAUUGUAAUUGGCUUUUCAAUGGGGGUUUUGUCCAGAGCUGGUGGCUAGAACUGGGUGGCCUGUUUGAGGCAGGCUCCAUUUCAAUGACAAUAAAGCAAUAAUAUUGAGGACUCUACAGUGCCCAGCACUCCUCCCAGCCCAA